RNAcentral lists this ribosomal RNA (1177 nucleotides) under uncultured bacterium. RNAcentral describes it as "bacterial SSU rRNA". It matches the Rfam family "Bacterial small subunit ribosomal RNA", at positions 8 to 1187 of the family's 1533-position model. The record is from RNAcentral.
AGAGUUUGAUCAUGGCUCAGAACGAACGCUGGCGGCGCGCCUAAUACAUGCAAGUCGAACGAGAAUGUGUAGCAAUACACAUGUAAAGUGGCGAACGGGUGAGGACUACAUGGGUAACCUACCCUCGAGUGGGGGAUAACCAGCCGAAAGGUUGGCUAAUACCGCGUACGCUUCCCGGACUGCGGUUCGGGAAGGAAAGCGAUACCGUGGGUAUCGCGCUCUUGGAUGGGCUCAUGCCCUAUCAGCUUGUUGGUGAGGCAACGGCUCACCAAGGCAUCGACGGGUAGCUGAUCUGAGAGGAUGAUCAGCCACACUGGCACUGCGACACGGGCCAGACUCCUACGGGAGGCAGCAGUAAGGAAUAUUGCGCAAUGGGCGAAAGCCUGACGCAGCGACGCCGCGUGGGGGAUGAAGGUCUUCGGAUUGUAAACCCCUUUCGGGAGGGAAGAUGGGAUGGGGUAACCCAUUCGGACGGUACCUCCAGAAGCAGCCACGGCUAACUUCGUGCCAGCAGCCGCGGUAAUACGAAGGUGGCAAGCGUUGUUCGGAUUUACUGGGCGUACAGGGAGCGUAGGCGGUUGGGUAAGCCCUCCGUGAAAUCUCCAGGCUUAACCUGGAAAGUGCAGAGGGGACUGCUUAGCUAGAGGAUGGGAGAGGAGCGCGGAAUUCCCGGUGUAGCGGUGAAAUGCGUAGAGAUCGGGAGGAAGGCCGGUGGCGAAGGCGGCGCUCUGGAACAUUUCUGACGCUGAGGCUCGAAAGCGUGGGGAGCAAACAGGAUUAGAUACCCUGGUAGUCCACGCCUUAAACGAUGGAUACUAAGUGUCGGCGGGUUACCGCCCGGUGCCGCAGCUAACGCAGUAAGUAUCCCGCCUGGGAAGUACGGGCCGCAAGGUUGAAACUCAAAGGAAUUGACGGGGGCCCGCACAAGCGGUGGAGCAUGUGGUUUAAUUCGACGCAACGCGGAGACCUUACUAGGCUGGACAUGCACGUAGUAGGAGGAUGAAAGUCUACGAGGUAGCAUACAGCGUGCUCAGGUGCUGCAUGCUGUCGUCAGCCUCGUGCCGUGAGGUCUGGGUAGUCCCGCAACGAGCCCACCCCCUGUCUCAGUACACGGUCAUGGCGGGACCUCUGGGAAGACUGCCAGAGAAACGCGGGAGAAAGAGUGUGGGAUUACACA